This 75-nucleotide transfer RNA is filed under the name Oscillibacter valericigenes. RNAcentral's name for it is "tRNA-Gly". It matches the Rfam family "tRNA". From Rfam's summary of the family: Transfer RNA (tRNA) molecules are approximately 80 nucleotides in length. RNAcentral also lists the same sequence under 7 other names. Lineage: Bacteria; Bacillati; Bacillota; Clostridia; Eubacteriales; Oscillospiraceae. The record is from RNAcentral.
GCAGGUGUAGCACAAUGGUCAGGGCACCAGCCUUCCAAGCUGGGGAUGCGGGUUCGAUUCCCGUCACCUGCUCCA